RNAcentral lists this ribosomal RNA (2161 nucleotides) under Salmonella enterica. RNAcentral describes it as "partial 23S ribosomal RNA". It matches the Rfam family "Bacterial large subunit ribosomal RNA", at positions 711 to 2848 of the family's 2925-position model. The record is from RNAcentral. Lineage: Bacteria; Pseudomonadati; Pseudomonadota; Gammaproteobacteria; Enterobacterales; Enterobacteriaceae.
AGACCCGAAACCCGGUGAUCUAGCCAUGGGCAGGUUGAAGGUUGGGUAACACUAACUGGAGGACCGAACCGACUAAUGUUGAAAAAUUAGCGGAUGACCUGUGGCUGGGGGUGAAAGGCCAAUCAAACCGGGAGAUAGCUGGUUCUCCCCGAAAGCUAUUUAGGUAGCGCCUCGUGAAUUCAUCUCCGGGGGUAGAGCACUGUUUCGGCUAGGGGGCCAUCCCGGCUUACCAACCCGAUGCAAACUGCGAAUACCGGAGAAUGUUAUCACGGGAGACACACGGCGGGUGCUAACGUCCGUCGUGAAGAGGGAAACAACCCAGACCGCCAGCUAAGGUCCCAAAGUCAUGGUUAAGUGGGAAACGAUGUGGGAAGGCCCAGACAGCCAGGAUGUUGGCUUAGAAGCAGCCAUCAUUUAAAGAAAGCGUAAUAGCUCACUGGUCGAGUCGGCCUGCGCGGAAGAUGUAACGGGGCUAAACCAUGCACCGAAGCUGCGGCAGCGACACUGUGUGUUGUUGGGUAGGGGAGCGUUCUGUAAGCCUGUGAAGGUGUGUCGUGAGGCAUGCUGGAGGUAUCAGAAGUGCGAAUGCUGACAUAAGUAACGAUAAAGCGGGUGAAAAGCCCGCUCGCCGGAAGACCAAGGGUUCCUGUCCAACGUUAAUCGGGGCAGGGUGAGUCGACCCCUAAGGCGAGGCCGAAAGGCGUAGUCGAUGGGAAACGGGUUAAUAUUCCCGUACUUGGUGUUACUGCGAAGGGGGGACGGAGAAGGCUAUGUUGGCCGGGCGACGGUUGUCCCGGUUUAAGCGUGUAGGUGUGUGUUCCAGGUAAAUCCGGUUCACUUUAACACUGAGGCGUGACGACGAGGCACUACGGUGCUGAAGCAACAAAUGCCCUGCUUCCAGGAAAAGCCUCUAAGCAUCAGGUAACAUCAAAUCGUACCCCAAACCGACACAGGUGGUCAGGUAGAGAAUACCAAGGCGCUUGAGAGAACUCGGGUGAAGGAACUAGGCAAAAUGGUGCCGUAACUUCGGGAGAAGGCACGCUGACACGUAGGUGAAGUGAUUUACUCAUGGAGCUGAAGUCAGUCGAAGAUACCAGCUGGCUGCAACUGUUUAUUAAAAACACAGCACUGUGCAAACACGAAAGUGGACGUAUACGGUGUGACGCCUGCCCGGUGCCGGAAGGUUAAUUGAUGGGGUCAGCGCAAGCGAAGCUCCUGAUCGAAGCCCCGGUAAACGGCGGCCGUAACUAUAACGGUCCUAAGGUAGCGAAAUUCCUUGUCGGGUAAGUUCCGACCUGCACGAAUGGCGUAAUGAUGGCCAGGCUGUCUCCACCCGAGACUCAGUGAAAUUGAACUCGCUGUGAAGAUGCAGUGUACCCGCGGCAAGACGGAAAGACCCCGUGAACCUUUACUAUAGCUUGACACUGAACAUUGAGCCUUGAUGUGUAGGAUAGGUGGGAGGCUUUGAAGUGUGGACGCCAGUCUGCAUGGAGCCGACCUUGAAAUACCACCCUUUAAUGUUUGAUGUUCUAACGUGGACCCGUUACCCGGGUUGCGGACAGUGUCUGGUGGGUAGUUUGACUGGGGCGGUCUCCUCCUAAAGAGUAACGGAGGAGCACGAAGGUUGGCUAAUCCUGGUCGGACAUCAGGAGGUUAGUGCAAUGGCAUAAGCCAGCUUGACUGCGAGCGUGACGGCGCGAGCAGGUGCGAAAGCAGGUCAUAGUGAUCCGGUGGUUCUGAAUGGAAGGGCCAUCGCUCAACGGAUAAAAGGUACUCCGGGGAUAACAGGCUGAUACCGCCCAAGAGUUCAUAUCGACGGCGGUGUUUGGCACCUCGAUGUCGGCUCAUCACAUCCUGGGGCUGAAGUAGGUCCCAAGGGUAUGGCUGUUCGCCAUUUAAAGUGGUACGCGAGCUGGGUUUAGAACGUCGUGAGACAGUUCGGUCCCUAUCUGCCGUGGGCGCUGGAGAACUGAGGGGGGCUGCUCCUAGUACGAGAGGACCGGAGUGGACGCAUCACUGGUGUUCGGGUUGUCAUGCCAAUGGCACUGCCCGGUAGCUAAAUGCGGAAGAGAUAAGUGCUGAAAGCAUCUAAGCACGAAACUUGCCCCGAGAUGAGUUCUCCCUGAGACUUAAAGUCUCCUGAAGGAACGUUGAAGACGAC